Camellia sinensis is the source of this 654-nucleotide non-coding RNA. Lineage: Eukaryota; Viridiplantae; Streptophyta; Magnoliopsida; Ericales; Theaceae. The record is from RefSeq and is a predicted model, not a curated record.
GAAGUAUUAUGUUGAUCAAUAAUACAAUACUUGCUUCUUGAAACUAGCAUUUGAUGAUUAGACUUUUAUUUGUAAAUUUUUUAGGAUUGCAUAAGUCAAUGUUACAUGCCUUAAACGCAAGCAACAAGUAUGGUAGGACAAGAUUAUUUGUUGUUUAUCUUUGAAAUAUUUUGUAGAACUGUGUUUGAUGUUUAUCAGUUUGGAUUUUUAUUUUUUAUUUUUUAAAUUUAGAUGACCAACUUGGUGGUCAAAUGUGUGAUAUUCUGUGGAAAUAUAAGAGUAGUUGUAGAGAAAUGACCCUUCGCCACUUAUUUGACAGGAACCAUUUCUGGGGAUUUUUUCCCUUAUGCACCCAUUGCAACACUCUUUUUUUUUUGGCUAGACAAGUUUACAUUUACUAACCGAGACUUCCUAUGUACAGGAUGAUGAGUGACUAUGCUGUGCAGCCAAUAAAUGAUGGGAUUAGUGAAUUCAAUGUGGAAUUCCAUGGUCCAAAAGAAAGUGUUGCUGAGAGAAUAGUUGAUAUGAUGGCGCAAGUAAUAUUGGAAGCUAAAUUGAGAUUGUUUUUUUAUUUUUUAUUUUUUUUGAGGACUUGAAUUUGUUAGUACUUUGUAUAAAUAUAUUUAAGGAUGGUUGAUAGAUAUUUGUUUUGCA